This 794-nucleotide long non-coding RNA is filed under the name Sinocyclocheilus anshuiensis. RNAcentral's name for it is "lncRNA (ENSSANG00000003944.1)". The record is from RNAcentral. Lineage: Eukaryota; Metazoa; Chordata; Actinopteri; Cypriniformes; Cyprinidae.
AAUUGUUAACAGAAUAAGAUUAUAUCUACUUUUUUUCCUCUAAUAUUUAUGUAGACAUCAGCAGCUCUCCAGGAUUUUGAUGCAUUUCAGUCAACGACCAAAAGAUCUGAUUCCUAAGGACUCGUAUGGUAUCACUGUUUCUUUUCCUUUGGGUUUGUUGUAUAAUGAUAUUGAUCAGCUGUAAUUCAUGAAAUGGUCUGUUCUUCAGUGAUGUACUUCUGGAUGCUGCUGUUACCGUCUCUCAGCGGAGCUGCUGUUCUCAUUAUAGCUGCGGCUCUUGGUGAAUAUGGGGCUAUCUUUUCUGCAGUGCUUUUCCCCUGCAUGGCAAAAGUUAUUCUUUCUCAAUAUCAUAGACUGAGCAGCUUUCAAAGGUUAUCAAACCCUGUUUACCUGGGAACACUGACUGCGGGCCUAAUUCAUUCCAUAGCUUGCUUUCUCUAUAAAAUUUUACCUAAUAUCCUUUGCAGAUAGCUUAUGUCAUCAACCUCUUUCAAAAGUUGAAAUCUUUUGGAUGUUUUGUCAAUUAUUCCUUGACCGCUCACGGUUUUGGCCAGCUUAUACCCUCUUAAAUUUUUCACUUGUCCAUUUUUGUGUGCUCGCUGGACUUUUUUGGAAAGUUUUAAACCAGAACCCAGGACGACUCAAAGAAGCUGACACUGAUUCCAAGUUUUCCAGCAUAGGAGACUUAAUAGAAGCUGGAAAGAGCCCAGACAGAUUCUGUAUUUACUGUGAGGUGAGCACUUAUUUGACCAGCACUGUAUCUGAAUCUCUUUUCUGAUUUUUAAAAUUGACUU